This 250-nucleotide long non-coding RNA is filed under the name Lathyrus oleraceus (garden pea). Its description in RNAcentral is "Pisum sativum (pea) long non-coding RNA (PSAT_LNC007548)". Lineage: Eukaryota; Viridiplantae; Streptophyta; Magnoliopsida; Fabales; Fabaceae. The record is from RNAcentral.
AAAAUUAAAAAUCAUUUUUAGAAAGUAGAAAAUAAAAGAGAAAUAAUGCAAUUGGUCCCAUAAAUUUUGGACCAAUAAUGAGAGAGAUAUGAAUUUUAGAAAAUGAAAUGAAAUUAAAAAAUAAAAUGGAAAUUAAAAUCAGAAUUAAAAAAUAAGGAAAAACACGAGGCGUUGGAUCAGGCUCAUUAAUUGAGCUGGCACAUCAAACGUUCCUUAGCGCAUGUCCACCAAAGUCCAGGGUCAACUGAAU